Molecule: ribosomal RNA, 472 nt
Filed under: uncultured Desulfobulbus sp.
Lineage: Bacteria; Pseudomonadati; Thermodesulfobacteriota; Desulfobulbia; Desulfobulbales; Desulfobulbaceae
Description: bacterial SSU rRNA
Rfam family: Bacterial small subunit ribosomal RNA
Source: RNAcentral
GGGGCCCGGCACAAGCGGUGGAGUAUGUGGUUUAAUUCGAUGCAACGCGAAGAACCUUACCUGGUCUUGACAUCCCGGAGACCCUUAGGAAACUAGGGGUGCUUCCAUCUGGAAGAAUCUGGAGACAGGUGCUGCAUGGCUGUCGUCAGCUCGUGUCGUGAGAUGUUGGGUUAAGUCCCGCAACGAGCGCAACCCUUGCCUUUAGUUGCCAGCAGUUCGGCUGGGCACUCUAAAGGGACUGCCGGUGUUAAACCGGAGGAAGGUGGGGAUGACGUCAAGUCCUCAUGGCCUUUAUGACCAGGGCUACACACGUACUACAAUGGCCGAUACAAAGGGCAGCGACACUGCGAGGUGAAGCCAAUCCCGUAAAAUCGGUCUCAGUCCGGAUUGGAGUCUGCAACUCGACUCCAUGAAGUUGGAAUCGCUAGUAAUCGUGAAUCAGAAUGUCACGGUGAAUACGUUCCCGGGCCUU